This is a long non-coding RNA of Medicago truncatula (barrel medic), 1724 nucleotides long. RefSeq lists it as uncharacterized. Lineage: Eukaryota; Viridiplantae; Streptophyta; Magnoliopsida; Fabales; Fabaceae. The transcript has 2 exons. The record is from RefSeq and is a predicted model, not a curated record.
GGAUAUCUUAUUCAGCCAUGGUGCGAUGGGGUAGUAGUUCUGUUGAGGCGUCCUGAGAUUUUUUUCGCAGGUUCUUUCAGCCAUGUGUUGGCUGUAUGUGUUUUGAUCAAGAAUAUUGUUUUGGUAUGUUUUGCGGUUGUUCACUACGUACUAGUGUUGUUGUUUGGGGUGCUCUUGUUUGUCUUUGUUUUGAGCCACUUGAGAUUUCUUGCUCAUUAGCAUUCUUUGUUUAGAAUUUGUAUUUUGUGUUUGUUUCUAUUUUAUAUUUUCUAUUUAAAAGAAUGCAAUUUGAACUUGCAAUAAAAAGAGAGUAACGUUAAGGCUAUUUGUGAUAAAAGAGUCUUUAAGAAAAAGGCUAUUUGUGAUAAAAAGAAAAACAAUAAAAAAAUGUAGUGUUUUUAGUGUGCCUAUUAUGUUGUGAUUAGACAUGCUUAUUGUUCAAAUCUCCUACGUAAGAUAAGCUUAUAGUGACAUCAUGUGUUAUUGUAUGAUAUAUGGUACCCUCAAUUGCAUAUAUAUGAUCCUGCAUAAGCCACACAUAAAAUAUUUAAUAAUGAUUCUUAAAAAUUGAUGCCCCUGAUGGCUUACAAAACGUUCACAGUCAUUAUUUAGCACUUUAAAUUCUCGUUCAAUGAAAUGCAAACUGUGAAGUAACUUAGGACAUACACUAAAUUUUGAUGUUGCAGCUACUGCCUGAAUGUUAUAUAUUAUCCUAUAAGAAGUCUAUAUAUAGGAUCUGCAACUGACAAGAGCAGCCUGCUAUAAUAUGAAGAUGAUAAUGCAUUUUGUCAUACUAAUCCAACCAGCUUGAUUUAAUAUGACAUGAACAGAUCCUAUAAUGCAUUUUAUCUUGUAUUUCAUUGUUGAAUUUCUCUAUUUGUCAUUCUUUUGCUUGUCGAGUGGUCCUGGGUUUUCCUUUCAUUUCUACAGCUUUUGUAAAAUUGUGUUGGUUGCCAUAAUUAGUGAGUUGUUGGUUUGGAACUAAAAAAUUCUUUGUAAAAAAGUAAGUAUUUUUAUACAUGUCUGCUAUAUUCUUUCUCGUUUUCACAUUUUAUCUUUGUUGUAUUUUAUAUGUCAAUGAACCUGCCGAUGAAAAGUUGUCUAAUUUUCAAGUAACACAUCACAUUUUGAUCACCACAAUCAAGAAUGUGAAAUUAGAGAUGUUGAGGAUGAUCCUUUCUUUAACACAUCACAUUUGCCUGAGGUUGAACUUACAUAUAAAAUUCCCGAUACGAGAAACGAUCACAAUGGUGGGAUUUGGAUCAAUCAAUCAUUUUGGGUAAAUAAAAAACUGAAAACUUUGAAUCUAAUUACAAUGAAGGGGAAAAAGCCAAUUUGCAAGAUGAUAUAGAUGAGGAAUUUCAAGAGGAAGACGUAGAUGAUGAAUUUCUUAAGGAUGAAUUUCUUGAGGACAACUUAAGUGAUGAAUUUCAGGAGGAUGAUAUAGAUGAUGAAUUUCAAGAGGAUGACCUGGAUGAUGAAUUUGAAGUGGACGAUUUGGCUGAUGAAUUACAAGAUAAACUUGAAUGAUCGAGUUGGAUGGUGUUUUAUUUUGGAUUGUAGUUAAACCACUAAACUUGUCCGAACUAUAGUUUUGUUAUUUUGCUAGGCUUAUACUUCGAAGCAUUAAACUUAUCAAGUAAUGUUUGACAUUUUGAUUACUAUUAUGUCUUGAAUUAAUGUUUGAACUAUUUUAUUAUAUUACAUCUUUUGUGGUUGUAUUG